Molecule: long non-coding RNA, 9944 nt
Filed under: Homo sapiens (human)
Lineage: Eukaryota; Metazoa; Chordata; Mammalia; Primates; Hominidae
Description: HSALNT0342215
Source: RNAcentral
CAGUAUGUUGCCCAGGCGGGUCUGAAACUCCUGGGUUCAAGCAAUCCACCAGCCUCGGCCUCCCAAAAUGCUGGGAUUACAGACGUGAGCUGCUGCAUCCAGCUGAGAUUUUAAAGUAUUUCAUAAAAGUCUUGCACAUUUCUCUUUGGGUGGAUUCUUCGGGUAUUUUUUGUUACUAUUGUGAAUGGAAUCCUUCCUUUUGUUGCAUUUUCUCAUUGUUAUUUGGAUAUAGACGAGCUAUUAGUUUUCUCACAUUAAUUUGAAAUCACCCAUCUAUUUGGGCUCUCUUCACAUUGGCCUAUAAUGUUCUGUUUGCUUCAGUUUUCCUUUUCUUUUCCAAAGCUUGGAAUAUCUCAACAGCUCUCAUAUAAAAUUCCAAGUGUCCAAAACUGAAGUUCUUCCCAGUCUGACUAGAAACCUAGUCCUCUCCCAGGAUCCAUCAGUUCAGAGACCUUACCAGCCCCCAUCAAAGGCACAAGCGAGGCUGGGCGCGGUGGCUUACGCCUGUAAUCCCAGCACUUUGGGAGGCCGAGGUGGGAGGAUCACGAGGUCAAGAGAUCGAGACCAUCCUGGCCAACAUGGUGAAACCCCGUCUCUACUAAAAAUACAAAAAUUAGCUGGGUGUGGAGGUGCGUGCCUGUAGUCGCAGCUACUUGGGAGGUUGAGGCAGGAGAAUCGCUUGAACCCAGGAGGCGGAGGUUGCAGUGAGCCAAGAUCACGCCACUGCACUCCAGCCUGGGCGACAGAACGAGACUAUCCCCCCCACCAAAAAAAUACUACUUGUGGUUUCACCCACUCCAACAAUGAACUACAGCAAAAACUUAGUACUUUAUUCAAUCUUGAGAAAGUUUCUAAUUUGUGUCAAUACUUCUAAUAUUUCUCUAGCCUGUGGCUAGAAACUUUCACUGCAAUGUUAUUCCUCUCUUCUUCUUAUAUUUCUGUGUCUCCAAGUCCUAUCACUAUCUUCUUCUGAAUGUCUCUUGAAUUUGUCUGUUCUGUAUUUUUAUACCCACUCUCUUCUUCUUGGCAUCACCUAUGCACAACUGUGCCCUCCCUGAUGGAAGCCUCCCUGGUCCACAAGACAUUUAGCCACUACAUCAAUCUUUUUUGUAUCUGUAGAGGUAAGAUCUCACUCUCUGCCCAGUCUAGAGUGCAGGGGCACAAUCAUGGCUGACUGCAGCCUCAGACUCUUGGGCUCAAGUGAUCCUCCCACCUCGGCCUCCUGAGUAGCUGGGACUAUAGGCAUGCACCACUAUGCUCAGCUAAUUUUCCUAUUUUUAAAAAAUCUCUGUAGAAACAAGGUCUCACUAUGUUGCCCAGGCUGCUCCAAACACCUGGCCUCAAGUGAUCCUCCUGCCUCAGCCUCCCCAAGUGCUGAGAUUACAGGACUAAGCCACUGUGCCUGGCCCAGAUCAAUCUUUUGAAUGCCAUUUUCAUGUUCUUAUGCAAAAACAUCAACAACAACAAACAACAACAACAAAAAUCUCUAAUGACUCUGUAUUUUACUGUGAAUCCUGAGUUUCUCCCUGGGUAUUAAGAUUUCCCAUUCCCUAACAACACAUUUAUUCCCCAUUAUUCCUCAUGGUAUAGCUUGGAUUAGCCCCUUUUACCCACCCCAGCUACCUCCCAGAGUUUAUUCUUGCUUCUUAACCCAUCAGACAAUCCCUCUCUCCUUGCUGGGCCCUAACCUACAUUCAGGGUCCAGGCCAGGCAUUUUGUCAGUGAAGCCUCACUCAAGCCAGUGUUUCCCAAACGUCAGUCUGUGAUGACAUUUUCACUAGUGCCAAAACCAAAAAAAUAAGGACAAUGUAAGCGGGGUUUUCAUAAAACGAAACUAAUUUUAAGUGGCUGUUCUUUGUUGUGAUGUUAUGUCUUUCCUGCUUUUUUCAUGUUAAAAUGUUCUUUCUUUAAUGAAAGAGGUAACAAAAAACGGUGACAGAGCAGUGACUUAGCAAAAUAAAAACUGGGCAAUAUUAUACUGAUCCCCACAUGUACAUAAAUGUUUCGACUGCUCUGGGAAUUACAACUCUAACCAUCAGUGAUCAGCUCCCUCUUUUUAAUCCUAUUUAAGAAUCAUAUAGUUUAGUAUUCAAUUACUUCCCAUACAGGUGGCUUUGUUCCCCAGCUAAGUUAGGCCCCUCUGAGGGAGGAACCAUCCAUCCAUCCAUUCAUUCAUUCAUUUUCUGGGCCAGCGUUUCGCUCUGUCACCCAGGCUAGAAUGCAGUGGCACGAACACAGCUCACUGCAGUCUCGAACUCCUGGGCUCCAGUGAUGCUCCCACCACAGCCUCCUGAGUACCUGGGACUACAGGGCAUGCACCACCACCCCUGACUAAUUUUUCAAUUUCUUGUAGGGACAAGGUCUUACUAUGUUGCCCAGGCUGGUAUCAAACUGAGCUUAAGCAAUCCUCCCGCCUCAGCCUCCCCAAGUGCUGUGCCACUUCCAAGGCCACUGUACCAGAGCCACUGAUCUGUCAAUUCUGAUACAAAUUUAGGAUAUCUUCAAAUUUGCAUUGAAGGAAAAAAAGUCACAUUUCAGUUAUAUCAACAGAUUCAAAUGCCAAAAAUGUUAAGCCCAUACAGGAGAACUGAACUCCAUUCCAUUAUCUGCAACUGAAACAAACACUUCUUUCCAAUCUUGCUCAGUAAGUUUAUGCAUACACAAGACUCACACAUGUUUCCACUAUUCAGACACCAUUAAAUGAUCAAAUGAUUUCUUCCUGCGGGGAAAACUGUCUAAGUUAACAAAACACACUUUAGCACCCACCGGCCAUGCCUAUUGGCUUUGGAGGUGGGAACAGAUCUCUGGUAAAGUGACAGUCCUGAGGUAAGUUUUCAAAACACCUGUUUGCUUAAAAUAUGGAUGUUACAGUUCAUCUUCUACAAUUGCACUAAAUUAAAAAUAAAUGACAAAAUCAUGUGAACUAUUUGCCAUCAGAAGUGUGACAGAAUUCAGAUCAUACCCCAAACGUGGCAGGGUUAGGCAGAGCUGUUGUGGCAAAAACUGUCUCUUCUGUGAGACACAACUGAGCCCCAAGGACGAGGUGGGGAUGUGCCACCUGCUGCCUGUCCCCACGGGUUCCCUGCCAGCACCAAACAUUAAUACUAUCUGUGUGAUCCUUUCUAGUCCAGAAAGCUCUUCUAGAAACACUAUUCUCUUCUUAUUCUCAUAGGAUGAGGGACAUGGACACACAGACAGAUGGAUUUUUUUCCUAAUUCAUGGGUGAAGGCAUCUCUGCUGCACCCCCAUCCCACUCUACAUUAAUGCGGCAUCAUCAUAGCUCUUUGCAGAGCCUGAAAUUAAACCCUUUCUUUAUUUGCAUUCUUCUUAAUGCCUAGCUCCACUGAAGCAAGUACUGUGUCUUUUAUUCUUAACCACUGUCUCCCCAGAGGCUGAAACAGUGCCUGGCACAUGCAGUUGACUUUAAACAUAUUUGUUAAAUGGUAUUAGGUAAUGACUUUUUUUUUUUUAACUGUGUAGUUAACCCACUAGAAUGUAAGCAUCAAGAAGGCAGACGCUGCCUUCUCAACCAUUACAUUCCUAGCACGGAAGCACAGGGCCUGGCAGAAAUUAGCGCUUGAUCAAUGUUUGUUGAAAUCAAUGGAUAACUGCCUGCUUGAAUGAAUGUAUGAAAACAACUGUUUUGCAAGCGCCACAAUGUGAUGUGUCUGACUCCUAUGCCAUGUUCACAAGGAGUCGAGAGCCUGGAAGCUUUGCACACUACUGCCUGGAAGAUCUGAUUCUUUGGAAAUAAAAUAUAUAUAUAUAUUCUGCAGGUUCAAAGCAGAAGUAUUAUUAUAAUGAGGGAGAAAUAAAGUAAUAAAGUACAUGUCAAAAAACAAGUACUAAAGUCCAGAGGGCAUUUGGAACUUUUUUUUUUUUUUUUGAGAUGGAGUCUUGCUCUGUUGCCCAGGCUGGAGUGCAGUGGCACGAUCUCAGCUCGUUGCAAACUCCACCUCCCAGGUUCAAGCGAUCCUCCUGCCUCAGCCCCCCUAGUAGCUGGGAUUACAGGCAUGUGCCACCAUGCCCGGCUAAUUUUUGUAUUUUUAGUAGAGACGAGGUUUCGCCAUGUUGGCCAGGCUGGUCUCGAACUCCUGACCUCAGGUGAUCCACCCGCCUCGGCCUCACAAAGUGCUGGGAUUACAGGCGUGAGCCACCGCGCCCGGCCAAAAACGGGACACGGAACUUUUUAUUUGAACAAAGCUCUCAUGAAGGAACCGUCAUUUUUACAUCUUAAGGAAUGAUCUUCAAGGAUUUGUUACACCAUCACAUUCCAAGAAAACCGGUAACUGGGGAUCACUCUCUAUUUUUUAACAUUAAAAUGUUAUUUUUCCCAACACCCUCACAGAAUCUGCAGCCCCUGAAGUAGGAGCUCUUCCUGGAUGGAGAAAGAAGACAGGUCGCACACAGGAAGCAAUUGCCAAAGCUAUUGUUUUCUUUCGUUUGGUUUUUUCUUAAGUAUUAUAGGCUAACACCUUUGCUUUGGAAGGUAAGAAAAGUGUCUCAUUAAAGUCUAUCUAUAUAGGACAAUUUCUAUCUCCAGAUAAUGUUUCUGUCUUAAAUAAACCCAGUGGAAUGUUUUACAGCGGAACAAGGGCAAGGCCAGACUCAGCGGCUCAUGCCUGUAAUCCCAGCACUUUGGGAGGCUGAGGCAGGAAGAUUCCUUGAGCCCAGGAGUUGGAGACCACCCCUGAGCAACGUAACAAGACACUGUAUCUUAAAAAAAAAAAAAUAGAAAUUAGCCAGUUCAGUGGUUUGCACUACUCAGCACCAGCUACUCAGGAGGCUGAGGGAGGAGAACUGCUUGAACCCAAGAGUUCAAGGCUGCGGUAAGCUAUGACUGCACCACCGCACUCCAGCCUGGGCAACAGAGUGAGAUGCCGUCUCUUUAAAAGAAUAAAUAAAUAAGAAGAAGAAAGGAAAAAAAAAAGUAAUCAUAAGUAAUAGCAAGAGAAAGCAAUGUCAGUAUUUUCUCUCUCUGUGUUCUACCAAAUGAGGCAGUAUUAUUAUUUUAUAGAGAUAGGAUUUUGCUAUGUUGCCCAGGCUGGUCUCAAACUCUUGGUCUCAGCAAUCCUUCUGCCUCAGCCUCCCGGAGUGCUGGAAUUCCAGGUGUGAGUCAACAUUUCCAACCGAGGCAGUAUUAAUUUGACACAUAGAAAGAUCAACAGAAAAUCCAAAGGCGGCCAGGCGUGGUGGCUCACCAGCACUUUGGGAGGCCAAGGCAGGUGGAUCACCUGAGGUCAGGAGUUUGAGACCAGCCUGACCAACGCAGUGAAACCCUACCACUACUAAAAAUACAAAAUUAGCCAGGCGUGGUGGCGCAAGCCUAUAAUCCCAGCUACUGGGGAGGUUGAGGCAGAAGAAUCACUUGAACCUGGGGGACGAAGGCUGCAGUGAGCCAAGAUUCUGCCAUUGGACUCCAGCCUGGAGACAGAGCAAAAUUCUAUGUCAAAAAAAGAAAAGAAAAGAAAAUCCGAAGGUGAGGAUGAAGUUUAGCAAGGUAAUACACUGCAAAAACCCCACACGUGGCUAUGAAAACCCCAGGAAAUACACACAAUCUUCUAAAACAAAGUGCCUUAUAAUUUCUUUCCUAUUUAUCAUUUUAUAGUGCUACUUCCAUAACACUGAAGUAUUUAACGGUAUUAUUUUGCCUGGUUUUAUCAUAAAAGCCAUUAUAAUUAUUUGGCUAAUCAUUAUUCACAUCACAGUAUAAAUCAGGGUAAAAUAAUUAUGCUCAACUUGAUUGAGCAUAGAAGGAAAAUAGAAGCUCAGAGAGAUUAAGCAACAGCUCGAGGUGACCUGGCAAAGUUAGUGACGGAGAUAAGAACUGAUCCAUCUCCUCAAUGAAAACCACAGCAUUCACUGACUCACGCUACUUCAUCAAGACAACUGAGCAUUAGAAUGAAAACAUUUUGGUGGCUCAUGCCUGUAAUCCCAGCAGUCUGGGAGGCCGAGGCGGGUGGAUCACAAGGUCAGGAGCUCGAGACCAGCCUGGCCAAAAUGGUAAAACCCCGUCUCUACUAAAAAUACAAAAAAAGUUAGCUGGGCCUGGUGUUGGGCACCUGUAAUCCCAGCUACUCGGGAGACUGAGGCAGGAGAAUUGCUUGAACCUGGGAGGCGUGGGUUGCAGUGAGUCCAGAUCACGCAACUGCACUCCAGCCUGGGCAACGAGUGAGACUCCAUCUCAAAAAAAAAAAAAAGAAAAAAUUUGUCACAACAUUAAACGUUUCCAGUCGAUGUAGCUAACAAUAGAUUCAUAAGAUCAUUUAAAACUUAAAAAAAAAAAAAAUCAACCAGACACAGUGGCUCACGCCUGUAAUCCCAGCACUUUGGGAGGCCAAGGCAGGUGGAUCACAUGAGGUCAGGAGUUCGAGACCAGCCUGGCCAACAUGGUGAAACCCCGUCUCUACCAAAAAUAUAAAGAAUUAGCUGGGUAUGGUGGCAUGCACCUAUAAUCCCAGCUACUUGGGAGGCUAAGGCAGGACAAUCGCUUGAACCCAGGGGGCUGAGGUUGCACUGAGCCAAAAUCAUGCCACUGCACUCCAGCCUGGGUGACAGAGUGAGAUUCCAUCUCAAAAAAAAAAAAAAAAUUGGUCAUGACCCAGCAAUUUCACCCUUAGGUAUGUCCUCAAUGCAAAUGCACAGAUACAUGCUCACCAUGUAGUAAAAGGAUAAUAAAUAAUAGUAGCACAGUUCCUAAUAGUUCUUUUAUUGAUUGUACUGUUUGAUUGUACUCAGUUUUGGAACUGAGAACCAUUGAGAUGUCCAUCAACAAUACAAACAAUAAAAAAGUUGUGGUCAUCACAAAAUGGAAUACUAUACAGCAAUGAGAAUGGCAGAUCCUAACAACACACACAUUUAUGAAUGAAUCUCACAAACAUAAUAUUCAAUGAAAGCCACAAGACAAUACAUUUCAUACAAUGCCACUUAUAUAAAGUACAAAAGCAGACAGAACUAAUAUAUGCUGUUAAAGUUAGGCUAGUGAUUAUCCUUUAGCAGGAUAAGGUAAUGACCUGAAGGACGCAUGAAGAAGGUGACUGGGGAACUGGCCAUGCUCUAUGUCCUGACCUGGAUGCUAAUUAUAUACAUGUGUUCAGUUUGUGAGAAUUCAGUGAGCUGUACACUCAGAUAUUUAUAAAUCAAUCAUAAACAUCAAUAGACAGAAUAGAAAGUCCAAAUAUAGACCCAUGUCAACUGAUGUUCUUCAAAGAUGCCAAGACAAUUCGAUGAUGGGGGAAAAAAGAUAGCCUUGUCUAGACUGGAAAAUAAGAAAUCCAGCCAGAAUGAAUGGGAUAUCAUUAUGAAAAAAGAAUAAUAAUAAGUCUCAACCCUUACCUCACAUCAUACACAAAAAUUGGCCUCAAACGGAGCAGAAACAUAAAAAUUAAAUACAAUAACGUAAAAACUAGAUACCAUUAGGAAAAUGAAAGGGCAAGAGACAGACUGGGAGAAAAUAUUAACAACCCAUAUGACCAACAAAAGACCUGCAUCUAGAAUAAAGAACUCUACAACUCAAUUUAAAAAAAAAACCCAAUCCAAUUAAAAAAUUGAUAUUUGGCUGAGCACAGCAGCUCACAACUGUAAUCCCAACACUGGGAAGCCAAGGUGGGAGGAUGACUUGUGUCCAGGUGUUCAAGAUCAGCCUGGGCAAAACAGUGAGACCCUAUCUCUAUAAAAAUUUUUAAAAUUAACUUUUAAAUAGACACCUUACCAAAAAAGACAUCACAUGGCCAAUAAGCACAGAAAAACAUGCUCAGUAUCAAUAAUCAUUGGUACAAUGCACAAUGCACAUGAAAACCACAGUAAGGUACCACCACAUACCUACUAGAAUUGCUAAAAUUAAAAAGACUGACAAUACUAAGUGCUAGCAAGGAGGUGGAAGUAGCAGUAGUAAGUAGUGUUUUCCUGACUCCUGGAGACAUUCUAGCAAAUUAUUAUUAUUUUGAGACAGGGUCUACACUCUGUCACCCAGGCUGGAGUGCAGUGGCACAAUCACAGCUCACUGCAGCCUCAACCUCCCAGGUUCAAGCGAUCCUCCCACCUCAGCCUCCCCAAGUAGCUGGGACUACAGGCAUGCGCCACCAAGCCUGGCUCAUUUUGUUUAAUUUUUUGUACAGCUGGAAUCUCAGUCUGUUGCUCAGGCUGGGCUUGAACUCCUGGCCUCAAGUGAUCUGCCUGCUUCAGCCUCCCAAAGUGCUGGGAUUACAGGAUUACAGGCCUCUAGCAAAUUACUGAACCUGCAAAGGGAACCCCCGAUUUAUUUAUUAGUCAGAAAUAUAGGUGACAACCUUUGAUUUGCAACUCAUGGAUAAGGUAGGAGUAGUCUUGUGGGACUGAGCCCUUAACCUGUGGGGUCUUUGCUAAUUCUGGGGAAUUAAGCGUUGGGAUUGAAUCGAACUGUAGAAUAGCCAGUUAGCAUCAGAAUUGGGAUUGAUGUGGGGAAAAAAAAAAAAAACCCACACAUUAGGUGUCAUCAGUGUCAUGUGUAACAACAGCUCAGAGUAUCACACACAGGUCAAUUUUUGUGUAUGAUGUGAGGUAAGGGUUGAGACUUAUUAUUAUUCUUUUUUCAUAAGGAUAUCCCAUUCAUUCUGGCUGGAUUUCCUAUUUUCCAGUCUAGACAAGGCUAUCUUUUUUUCCCCAUCAUCGAAUUGUCUUGGCACCUUUGAAGAACAUCAGUUGACAUGGGUCUAUAUUUGGACUUUCUAUUCUGUCUAUUGAUGUUUAUGAUUGAUUUAUAAAUAUCUGAGUGUACAGCUCACUGAAUUCUCACAAACUGAACACACGUAUAUAAUUAGCACCCAGGUCAGGAAAUAGAGCAUGGCCAGUUCCCCAGUCACCUUCUUCAUGUGUCCUGCAGGUCAUUACCUUAUCCUGGCUAAUUUUUUAUUUUUUAUAGCGAUGGGGUCUCGCAAUGUUGCCCAGCCUGGUCUCAAAUCCUGGGCUCAAGCGAUCCUCCAGCCACAGCCUACCGAAGUGCUGGGAUUACAGGCGUGGGCCCCCACACCCAGCCCCUACUCCUUAAGUGUGAGCUGUGUGUAGUGACUUCCUUCCAAAGAGUCCAGUAUGGAAAGAGAGGAAAAAAAAGUAACUUUACAGUGGAGAAACCUGACGAACACCAUCUCAGCCAGGUGAUCAAGGUCAACAUCAACAGUGACAAGUCACGCUGAUAUUAAGAGCAUGAAAUUUUGACAGGACCCGAUGAGAAUGGUACUUCACUUCUGUGGUCUUCCUCUCUAAAAUGCAUAAUCCCAAUCUAAUCAUGACACAAACAUCAAACACUUCCAGUGGAGGAACAUUCUACAAAUACCUGACCAGUGCUUCUCAAAGCUGUCAAGAUCAUCAAAAGCAAGGAAAGUCUAAGAAACUGUCACAGCCAAGAGCAACCUAAGGAAAUAUGACAACUAAAUGUGAUGUCAUAUCCUGGAUGGGAUCCUGAAACAGAACAUGUCAGUAGGUAAAAAAUAAGACAGUGAAAGCAUGGACUUGAGUUAGUAACAGUGUAUUAAAAUUGCUUCAUUAAUUGCAACAAAUGUACUGCAGUCAUGUUAGAUGCUGUUAAUUGGGGAAUCUGGACGUGUGUAUGCGUAUGUACAUGUGUGUGUGCGCAUGUGUGCAAGUGUGCAUGUGUGCACGUGUGCCCAUGUGUAUGUGUGUGCACGUGCAUGUGUGUGCGUGUGCCUGCAUGUGUGUGCACGUGUGUGCGCGUGUGGGGGCGGAAGGGGUAACAUGGGAACUGUCUGUCCUACCUUGGCAAUAAUUCCAUAAGUCCAAAAUUGUUCUAAAAAAUAAUGUCUAUAAUAAAAAAAAAAACAAAAAAGGUUACAGAACAGUGACGAGGUAAACUCUUUUUGGUAAAAUUGUGUGUAUGUGGAUAAAUGUGUAUUUAAGAGUCUGGAAUGAUGUCAACUAAUACAGUAUAAUUAUCUUUCUUUAAUAAUAAA